RNAcentral lists this ribosomal RNA (253 nucleotides) under uncultured bacterium. Its description in RNAcentral is "partial 16S ribosomal RNA". It matches the Rfam family "Bacterial small subunit ribosomal RNA", at positions 524 to 776 of the family's 1533-position model. The record is from RNAcentral.
UACGUAGGGGGCGAGCGUUGUCCGGAGUUACUGGGCGUAAAGGGCGCGUAGGCGGCGUAACAAGUCACUUGUGAAAUCUCCGGGCUUAACCCGGAGCGGCCAAGUGAUACUGUUGUGCUAGAGUGCAGAAGGGGCAACUGGAAUUCUCGGUGUAGCGGUGAAAUGCGUAGAUAUCGAGAGGAACACCAGCGGCGAAGGCAGGUUGCUGGGCUGACACUGACGCUGAGGCGCGAAAGCCAGGGGAGCAAACGGG